GGAGGAAUGUCCGAGUUUGGUCGAAGGAGCUUGACUCGAAAUCAAGUAGGCGGGUAACCGUCUCGGGGGUUCGAAUCCCUCUUCCUCCG
Molecule: transfer RNA, 89 nt
Filed under: Tumebacillus sp. BK434
Lineage: Bacteria; Bacillati; Bacillota; Bacilli; Caryophanales; Alicyclobacillaceae
Description: tRNA-Ser
Rfam family: tRNA
About the family: Transfer RNA (tRNA) molecules are approximately 80 nucleotides in length. Their secondary structure includes four short double-helical elements and three loops (D, anti-codon, and T loops).
Source: RNAcentral